Molecule: small RNA, 563 nt
Filed under: Pan troglodytes (chimpanzee)
Lineage: Eukaryota; Metazoa; Chordata; Mammalia; Primates; Hominidae
Description: processed transcript
Source: RNAcentral
AAAAGAAAAAAAAAAGCUGUACGGGGUAUCAAUGAGUCCUACAAGAAAAACCUGAUGGCCCUGAAGAAGUUUGUGAUGGUGAAAUUCCUCAAUGAUUCCAUUGUGGACCCUGUAGAUUCGGAGUGGUUUGGAUUCUACAGAAGUGGCCAAGCCAAGGAAACCAUUCCCUUACAGGAGACCUCCCUGUACACACAGGACCGCCUGGGGCUAAAGGAAAUGGACAAUGCAGGACAGCUAGUGUUUCUGGCUACAGAAGGGGACCAUCUUCAGUUGUCUGAAGAAUGGUUUUAUGCCCACAUCAUACCAUUCCUUGGAUGAAACCCGUACAGUUCACAAUAGAGCUCAGGGAGCCCCUAAUUCUUCCAAACCACAUGGGAGACAGUUUCCUUCAUGCCCAAGCCUGAGCUCAGAUCCAGCUUGCAACUAAUCCUUCUAUCAUCUAACAUGCCCUACUUGGAAAGAUCUAAGAUCUGAAUCUUAUCCUUUGCCAUCUUCUGUUACCAUAUGGUGUUGAAUGCAAGUUUAAUUACCAUGGAGAUUGUUUUACAAACUUCUGAUGUGGU